AUUCGGUUUCAAUAAAAGUGUAAAAAGAAGAGGCUCCGAACAAAGUUGCAGCGAUGACAGAACUAUAAGCACGUUACCGUCUCUGGAUCAGGCACAUCAGGCAUUUGUGCUUGCUGGUGAUCAAAUCCAUCUUCAUCUUUCUGUCACAUUAUUUUACCAAUAGUACAUGCAGUUUUAAAGACAAUAUUACAAAAAUAACAACCAGUCAAAAAAAAUGGUGUAAUGAAAACAUAAAAGUGCACCACGUAUAAAGACAAUAUUACAAACAUAACAACCAGUCAAAAAUAAUGGUGUAAUGAAAACAUAAAAGUGCACCACGUAAAGUUGCACCUAACCAGAAAGUUACUGCAAUAUUCCAGGCAAAACAAGUGAUCCAUCAAAGUACCCAUUCAUCAUUGUAAAGUGUGGGGUUUUUGUGGGGGGCAGCAGAAGAAGCAAUUAGAAUAGAUAUUCCAUGGUAGGACUUCAAAAUGAGCAGAACAAGCAUUUGAGAAAUGACUAAAAUUUGAAGAGCUGAUCCAAUAGUCUUCGCUAGUGAAGCUUGCUAAUUUUCUUUAAACUUUUUUCGUUAUAAUGUGAGAUCAGAAGGUCAGAAAUUAAUGUCAACAUGUGACUCCAACAUGAUAUCCACAGAUGACGAAUAUGAACAAUGAUGCAACAGAAAUCCAUGUUAUUUCGAAUUCACUCACAACCAUGCAUUCUAAGCUGAUACUUCUCCUGAAUACAUUUUCUUCAGGUUGUUUUUACCACAAAUCCUUGUUACGUAGCAUGCACGUUCAUGCCUUCAUAUGAAUGUAAUCAACUUGCUAUAUACUGUGAGAAAGCACAAGAGAAAAUAUAUUGUUGAUAUUAUUUACUUGUGUUUAACACAAUACAAUGAGCCAUAUAUACACACAUAACAUAUCCUACUCAUAUUGGAUUAGGGUUAUUUACUCCCUAAUUACAUGACUAUUCUAACACUACCCCUCAAGCUGGUGCAUAUAAAUCAUAUGUACCAAGCUUGCUACAUAUGUAAUUAAUGCGAGGACCAAUGAGGGACUUGGUAAAAAUAUCUGCAAGCCGAUCAUUCGACUUCACAAACUUUGUAGCAAUAUCUCCCGAGAGUAUCUUUUCUCUAACAAAGUUUCUACUUCACAAACUUUGUAGCAAUAUCUCCCGAUAAUAUCUUUUCUCUAACAAAGUGACAGUCA
This 1190-nucleotide long non-coding RNA is filed under the name Nicotiana benthamiana. Its description in RNAcentral is "long non-coding RNA (NBEN_LNC031335)". Lineage: Eukaryota; Viridiplantae; Streptophyta; Magnoliopsida; Solanales; Solanaceae. The record is from RNAcentral.